AAAUCUGACAUUUAUUGGUGGUCUGCUUUCUUUUCUAUUGUUUUUAUUGUUCAUUCUAUAGCAUUUUUUACACCCAAAUGGAUAUCGACCGACACGUGUGAUUCAUGUGGACUGUUUUAUCACUGUUGUCACUGCGGUGGCCGGUGCGGACUGUAUAACACAAAUGAAACUGGAACAGAGAUAGUCCACCCUCCUGUAUUUAACUACCUACUACCUAUGGAAGCAUUCGCCUUCGGUGUAUAUGUUCUCAAUCUAUGUUUUAUGAUCAUUGCUUGGAAAAAGGAAAGUGUUCGAACACAUGUAUCCGUCGGAAUUCUUGUGUACAUCAUUGUAGCUGUUCUCGCCUUGCUCGGCUUAUUUUUAUUGAUUGGCGUCACUGACCCUUCUCAUUUCGGAUACUCUUAUUGGAUGGCGCUCGUUUCCAGAUUUCCGGUGCUGUUACUACUGAAAGAAAUUUGUCGUCAAAGAACGGCAGGUGAAAGAGCUGUCAGUGCGGAAAACGUUCUACUCGUCAAUCAACCCUAGAUGACAUUGUUAGAAACUUAAAUGUAAUGCAUCAUGAGAAAACCAACAUAGUGCGUUUUCUACCAGCAUGGAUCCAGACCAGCCGCAAAGCCACUAUGUUGAUUUUCUCAUGGCGUGGCUCAAAUGUAAUGCUUCACAUUCGAAUGCGAACAUUUUAGUUACGUUGUUUAUACAAUGUAACUGAUUAUAGUGUUGCUUUUUUAAUUCCAAUGAAUGAUAUGUAAUGAAAAAAAAAAAAACAGACUGAAAAUGGACUGGAUGCUAAUUAACAAACAUAAGGAGAGAUCGUGUUUGUAUACAAAUCUGGUGUUUUUCUAUUUUUAUAACUGAUAUGACAGUGAUCGGAUGGGCAAUCGUCGAACAUUCAUGUUUUUUUUUUGUUUUUUGUUUUGUUUUUGUAAACAGUGAUGUUUUCUAACGGCCUAAACUUUCUUAAAAUACAAAUUUUAUCAAUAAUUUUUGGAUCAAUGGAAAGGUUAUAAAACAAGUAAUUUAAUGAUUUUAAUAAUUAUUUCGAAUUCUAACACGACCAGCGAAUAACCUUCAGACAUGUAGAGCAAAGUCUAUCUCUGAAUAUUCUGCAAUAAACCACAGGCAAUCGGCGUGUGACUUGGACCCAUUAUACAUGAUAGACCCCCCACCCCGUUCUCUACAACCCAGAUCCCCAACAUAAUAACAUAAAAACACAUUUCCAAAAAAAAAAAGAAAAAUGCUAUAUAUAAAAAAAAUAAAGGUAUGGUACUUUACAGCCAAACAUUAAGGAUAAAAUGGAAUGGCCUCAGUAACGAUCUCACUGCGUACACAAUUUUCGGACGAUUUUUGAAAAUCUGGUCUUAACCAACGCAUAAAGCAUAAAUCUUAACGGUAAACAUGCACUUUGGUCUCAAGGCUGCAUCAUUUUGAUGCAGCGAGACGCUAUUCUUUGACAAAAUCAUCUCGUAGACGAUGUGACCUAACCCGUAUAUUUCUCGGGCCAAUAGACAAGUCAAUGGCAGCCACCUAUUCCCUUCGUUAUUUCCAAGCACAAUCGUGGCCAUCCUUUAGAAACAUAAAUAAUUAGUCGCUUACCUAUAAUACUUCGUCCAGUUUCCGUCAAUAACGAUGCAUCCACCGUUGGGAAAUUUCUCUCAAAACAUCAGCUGCCAUGUUUAUACGGCGACCCGGAACUGGUUUUUACUACGUAGCCUUUUUGCGAUUGGUCGAUUCUGGAGGUGUGUUCUCCACGUGAGCUGGUAUUAACAUGGCAGCUGAUGUUUUGAGAGAAAUACAGCGUUGGGAAAUUGACUGGAUGCAUCGUUAUUGAUAAAUAGUUAUUUACGAUUCCUUAAUGUAAACUCCGUCUUGGUUUAUAAUCUUGGUUAUUUUAAAAGAAGAAACUUUCGAGCAUAAACUUUAACUUAAUGAUAAACUUGUCUUCUAUAUGCAAUGAAAGAAAACGCUUCCAUCUCGACCAAGGUCAGCUUGCAAAUUUGGCGCCCGUACACAACAUACGUAGUAAACAUAAAGCCUGGUUCAAUUUGACUGACCAGAGCGCCGCUUAACUUCGGAAAUGAAUAUCCUUUUCUAAAUCCGGGGAUAACAGAUGCUUUUCGUGUUAUAACAUCUGCAGAAUCCCGAGGGAUUGGUUGAUGCCCGAGCCCGGUAGGGCCGGGGUACCAACGUUUCCCGAGGGAUUCUGAAGAUGUAACAACACAAAAUGAACAAGCGUUAAUGCUGUUCUAGCAGAAAACGCGUAAAAAUAUUAAACGAAUAAAUAAUCCAUCAACGUCAUUAAAUUUUCAUGAAACGCGCGGUGACGUCUGCGUUUUUUUUCACGUUGACGUCAUUUUGUUUUAAUUAUCCUUUUUGGGACCGUAAUGCGUUUAUGCUUUUGCCACAGAACGCGCAUAUAAAAAGUGUUUUAACAGCACGUGAGCACGAGAACCAUAUUUCUCCCCCGAAAAGUGAGAAGAUCAGUUUUAUGCUAAAAUGUGAAUUUAUAGACAGUUCUCCUAAAAUCAAGUUAUUUCAAGCUAGAUUUUCGAUCAACGGAAAAUUGUACACUUUCAGUCUUCCGUUAAUUUGAUCACAAAUUUAAUGUAGGUUAUAGUGCACUAAAUGAUUUUGAAUCACAAAGUUAAUGUAGGGUAUAGUGCACUGAAUAAUUUUGAUCACAAAGGGAAUGUAGGGUAUAGUGCACUAAAUGAUUUAUUAUCAUAAAGUUAAUGUAGGGUAUUGUGCACAAAAUAAUUUUGAUCACAAAGUUAAUGUAUGGCAUAGUGCACUAAAAUGAUUCUGAUUAGAAAGGUAUUGCAGGGUAAUGUGCACUAAAUGAUCUUUCAUCACAAAAUUACUGUAGGGUAUAGUGCACUAAAUAAUUUUGAUCACAAAGUUUAUGUAGGUUUUAAUGCACUAAAUGAUUCUGAUUGGAAAGUUAUUGCAGGGUAAUGUACACUAAAUGAUCUAUCAUCACAAAAUUACUGUAGGGUAUAAUGCACCAAAUAAUUUUGAUCACAAAGUAAAUAUAGGGUAUAGUGCACUAAAUGAUUCUUCGUCUGUAUUCAAAUAAUAUAAUAUCAGUGAAUUUACUCAAAUGAAGACGAAAGUCAAGACUGCGUCAGUCUUUCUGGCAAGAACGGAUUCUGAUAUUGGUCGAGCUGGCUGAGCCAAUCAGAAGACGUAUAGUUUCGGAACGAUGUGAUUAACCAAUGAAAUUAAAGAAAUCUUAAAGCGACUGGCCUCCAGAUCGUUCGACAACAAACAAUUUUUUAGAUAUCUUGAAAUAAAUACUGUAUUUCUUAUAAGGCUUUAAAAAUGAAACUAUAUGUUACGGAAACACGAGAAUUUGCUGUUUUACUCCUUUUUACGAUGAAAAUCGUAAAGCGUUUAUCACGCUUUUACUCAAAGUAAACUGUCUCAAUUAUAAAUAUCUAUAUUUUGAAGUCAUAAUUCACUACUUCAGCUAUUGCACUAUUGGUUACGACGACGGAAAAAUGUCUUUAUUCGCUGCCGCGGCGUUCCAGGAUUCGAUUCCCGACGCGGCCACCUUUUUUCUUGAUUUGGAAUUUUUAGAAUAUUUUAGAAACAAAAAUUCCUAUACUUAUGUUCAUAAUAAGACCAAAUUCAAUUUGAAAGAAAGAUUUUAUUAGCCAAAUAUGGAGUUCAGUGCCAUUAAACUUGCACUGAAAGUCCAAUAUUGGCUGAAAUGAAGUAAAAUAAUAUUACCGACUUUAUCUUUGUUUACUAGAAUAGUAGUCUAAUAUUAACACAAAUAUUAGCGUUGUUUCGUAAUUUUGCAUACUAACUUGUUUAUUGUAUAGUCAUCCAUUCAGUGCCAGGAUAAACACCAUCAUGUCACUCAAUGGAGCAAUAAUAGUAUGAAUUAGAUCAUAUAUAUAUAUAUAUCUAUCAUUGGUUAUAUACCACUUUUGUCAUAAAGAACGUGAGGGUAAUUUGAGCAAUUCUUUCUCUUUACUGUAUCCAUAAUUGAUUUUUGAGCUAUUAUUACUUUUCAAUUAAUCAUCUUGAUAUUAUUUGUUAAACUGAUAUAUCGAGCAUAAAUAUGUUUUAAGCAAAGUUAUUAACUCCCUUUUAAAUGGUAUAAUAUAUCUGUUUCAAGUUUUGUGUGCAUACAUACACAGGGUAUUCUUGAGUGUAUAAUAUAUUUUUCUUGAAGUUUGCCGCAACGUCUGUUUACGACGUUUCCCGUAAUUUUUGUUAUGACGUGACGUCAUUGUACAUUAUUUCAAAAUGUAAACUGCCUGAAGAUAUAUGUAUUGAAAGCGCUUGCAGUGAAGAAUUAAAAUAAUUGUAAAACACAGAA
This is a long non-coding RNA of Mercenaria mercenaria, 4327 nucleotides long. RefSeq lists it as uncharacterized. The record is from RefSeq and is a predicted model, not a curated record. NCBI's taxonomy places the organism in Eukaryota, Metazoa, Mollusca, Bivalvia, Venerida, Veneridae. The transcript is spliced from 3 exons.